This 1389-nucleotide ribosomal RNA is filed under the name Triticum aestivum (bread wheat). RNAcentral's name for it is "partial small subunit ribosomal RNA". Lineage: Eukaryota; Viridiplantae; Streptophyta; Magnoliopsida; Poales; Poaceae. The record is from RNAcentral.
UCUUUCCCACCCCGCUCCUGACCUCUCACUCUAGGCGGCCUCUUCGUCUCCUCCGCCGCCGCCGCCGUUGUUGGUCGGUGGCGCAGAGGCAGCGGCCGGCGGUAGCGGUUGAGGCGUUCUCUUCGACCUUAAUGAACGACCUCGUUCCAGACAACAGAAACACACAUUCGGUACAGGCCCUGGGGUCCAACCCGUCUGGAGGGUCUUCCGGACGACGUGAGAUAGUAGCGAUCCUACCCGGACCCGAGACGGGGUCUAGAAGAGCGUAAACGACGGUGGACGGCAAGAACCCCAUGACGAAAACGGCCGAGGUAUCGUUGUAAGGGUGGAGAGGAAGAGGUUGGACUACAGAGAAGAAGUGGAGGAUUACGAUCGGGGAAAUCGUUGUUGGACCACGGGUUAGCAGGUAUAGAACAGUGUCUAUAUCGGUUUCAGUUGGUUCCACGGUUGGAAACGAGACUUUAAGGAGAUGCAGAUCUUACCAAAAGGAAGUACCCCCGAAGGAAACCGGUAGAGUAAAACAAAUUGUUUUUUAGAACAUAGCAACAACUACACAGAUCUCCACAAUCGCAGAGUGGAGGUGUUGAUGGUGAACAACUUACACGACUCGGGUUGAUACCACGGGAAUGACGAGGAGAGUGUAGUGGGUUGAGAGUAGAGUAAUAGCUCCGACCUGGAGUAUUAGACAAAACCGCACAACCAUCGCUGAGCACCCACUCUACAAGAUGAGCAGUACCUGUAUAGUUCGUUUAGCACCAGAAAUUUCCUGCCCACAAACCGUACCUAAGACUAGCGUCUUAGAAGUUUCACGUGAACUGUGGGGUCUAAUCGUAGGUUCUUGAUGGUCAGUAGCUCAGUUCGUACUAGUCAUUUGCCUUAGAAAGGUUACGUACCGACCACCGAACACCUCUAUACGAAGAGAACCAGCCGACAGCCCCUAGAUAGCAUCAUAGUCCCCAUUGGAAACUUCAGAAAGCGGAACUGGAUAGCAAACUCGGACGUAACACCAAGUUCCACCUCUUCGAUCUCGUAACCCGAUAUAAGUAGUCGUGCCUGUUCUCUUCGGUCCGUAACAGAACGUACUUGGGCCUCUAUACCCCUCCCGCCUCGUUGACGUAUAUGACGAUAUUGGUACUCAGACUUGCAACCUAACGUGAACUCGACCCGUUUGGCGAUGUCCCUCUACAGAAAUAAAAGUACCCGACACUGCCGUUCCACGUUGGAUACACCCAACAGGGGUCGUACGAGAGAGACACAGCCACUAAUAGUAUGUACUGAUUAUAUAGAAUAUAACCUCGUCUAAGAUAAUAACAUUCCUACACAGUCUUAGAUAGGUGCAAACCAUCAACAGCUAGCAGCUUAAAGCAUUGAACAUCAUUACGUAAUACG